This 447-nucleotide ribosomal RNA is filed under the name uncultured bacterium. Its description in RNAcentral is "bacterial SSU rRNA". It matches the Rfam family "Bacterial small subunit ribosomal RNA", at positions 329 to 792 of the family's 1533-position model. The record is from RNAcentral.
UCCCAGACUCCUACGGGAGGCAGCAGUGGGGGAUAUUGCACAAUGGGGGGAACCCUGAUGCAGCGACGCCGCGUGGGUGAAGGAGUGCUUCGGCAUGUAAAGCCCUAUCGGCAGGGAAGAAGCAAGACGGUACCUGACUAAGAAGCCCCGGCUAACUACGUGCCAGCAGCCGCGGUAAUACGUAGGGGGCGAGCGUUAUCCGGAUUCACUGGGUGUAAAGGGAGCGUAGACGGGCAUGCAAGCCAGGGGUGAAAGCGCGGGGCCCAACCCCGGGACUGCCCUUGGAACUGCAUGGCUGGAGUGCGGGAGGGGCAGGCGGAAUUCCUGGUGUAGCGGUGAAAUGCGUAGAUAUCAGGAGGAACGCCGGCGGCGAAGGCGGCCUGCUGGACCGCGACUGACGUUGAGGCUCGAAAGCGUGGGGAGCAAACAGGAUUAGAUCCCCGUGUA